This 1423-nucleotide ribosomal RNA is filed under the name Limosilactobacillus fermentum. RNAcentral's name for it is "bacterial SSU rRNA". It matches the Rfam family "Bacterial small subunit ribosomal RNA". Lineage: Bacteria; Bacillati; Bacillota; Bacilli; Lactobacillales; Lactobacillaceae. The record is from RNAcentral.
AGUCGACGCGUUGGCCCAAUUGAUUGAUGGUGCUUGCACCUGAUUGAUUUUGGUCGCCAACGAGUGGCGGACGGGUGAGUAACACGUAGGUAACCUGCCCAGAAGCGGGGGACAACAUUUGGAAACAGAUGCUAAUACCGCAUAACAGCGUUGUUCGCAUGAACAACGCUUAAAAGAUGGCUUCUCGCUAUCACUUCUGGAUGGACCUGCGGUGCAUUAGCUUGUUGGUGGGGUAACGGCCUACCAAGGCGAUGAUGCAUAGCCGAGUUGAGAGACUGAUCGGCCACAAUGGGACUGAGACACGGCCCAUACUCCUACGGGAGGCAGCAGUAGGGAAUCUUCCACAAUGGGCGCAAGCCUGAUGGAGCAACACCGCGUGAGUGAAGAAGGGUUUCGGCUCGUAAAGCUCUGUUGUUAAAGAAGAACACGUAUGAGAGUAACUGUUCAUACGUUGACGGUAUUUAACCAGAAAGUCACGGCUAACUACGUGCCAGCAGCCGCGGUAAUACGUAGGUGGCAAGCGUUAUCCGGAUUUAUUGGGCGUAAAGAGAGUGCAGGCGGUUUUCUAAGUCUGAUGUGAAAGCCUUCGGCUUAACCGGAGAAGUGCAUCGGAAACUGGAUAACUUGAGUGCAGAAGAGGGUAGUGGAACUCCAUGUGUAGCGGUGGAAUGCGUAGAUAUAUGGAAGAACACCAGUGGCGAAGGCGGCUACCUGGUCUGCAACUGACGCUGAGACUCGAAAGCAUGGGUAGCGAACAGGAUUAGAUACCCUGGUAGUCCAUGCCGUAAACGAUGAGUGCUAGGUGUUGGAGGGUUUCCGCCCUUCAGUGCCGGAGCUAACGCAUUAAGCACUCCGCCUGGGGAGUACGACCGCAAGGUUGAAACUCAAAGGAAUUGACGGGGGCCCGCACAAGCGGUGGAGCAUGUGGUUUAAUUCGAAGCUACGCGAAGAACCUUACCAGGUCUUGACAUCUUGCGCCAACCCUAGAGAUAGGGCGUUUCCUUCGGGAACGCAAUGACAGGUGGUGCAUGGUCGUCGUCAGCUCGUGUCGUGAGAUGUUGGGUUAAGUCCCGCAACGAGCGCAACCCUUGUUACUAGUUGCCAGCAUUAAGUUGGGCACUCUAGUGAGACUGCCGGUGACAAACCGGAGGAAGGUGGGGACGACGUCAGAUCAUCAUGCCCCUUAUGACCUGGGCUACACACGUGCUACAAUGGACGGUACAACGAGUCGCGAACUCGCGAGGGCAAGCAAAUCUCUUAAAACCGUUCUCAGUUCGGACUGCAGGCUGCAACUCGCCUGCACGAAGUCGGAAUCGCUAGUAAUCGCGGAUCAGCAUGCCGCGGUGAAUACGUUCCCGGGCCUUGUACACACCGCCCGUCACACCAUGAGAGUUUGUAACACCCAAAGUCGGUGGGGUAACCU